This is a long non-coding RNA of Prinia subflava (tawny-flanked prinia), 1148 nucleotides long. RefSeq lists it as uncharacterized. The transcript has 2 exons. The record is from RefSeq and is a predicted model, not a curated record. Lineage: Eukaryota; Metazoa; Chordata; Aves; Passeriformes; Cisticolidae.
UCGUGGUUUGAAGGGAAGUGAGUUUUUUUGGAAGUAGUGGUCAAACCAAUUAGUCUUUAGAUCUGAAUAUUGGCACCUUUGUUGGCCACUAAGAGGUGGACACGCCUCUGAGGACACGAGGGGUUAAAAGCCGGAUUUCCCAGCAGGACUCUCUCUUUCCUGCUCUGCUUUCGGAGAGGGAGCGUCUCCUCCUCUCCCCUGCCGGCCUGGCUAGGCCGGGUGGGGGAGGGGAGCAAGGUGGGCCUGGCUUAGCAAGAGAGAAGGUGCCGAGCUGGAGCUGCUUGUGAGACCUGCAGUGUCUGCGAUCGCCUGUGCCUGACCUUGGUGGUGGGAGAUAAAGCUUUUAACUCUUUCUAAGGCAGAAGAGAGUUAUCCCUGGACGCUGUAUUCUCAUAGUUGGUGGUUUUAGAAGAGAGAGGACAGCCUGGGACCGAGAGGGUAAUGUGAGAUGAAAAGAAGCCCCUUCGAUGGCCGGAAUGAAGAGGAGUGGCUUAUGAGGCUGGACUUUUCUUGCAUAAUGAUAGCCAUAGACGGACCCUGGACCCUCCUGACUAUAAAUAAGACUGUGUUUGGGUGGAUGUUUUUGGCUCAAACCCAGAGACGUUCUGGCCUGCUUCUUGGAGCCCCCGGCCCCAGGGGUAAAUGGGGGGGACCUGAGUCCCAAAAUGAGAAGAUGGCUGGUUUUUGGUACUUGGCCAAAACAUCCUUAAAAAGAGCCCUGUUGCAGUGCAGGUCCAUGGACGGCAGUGAGAGUGCCGGACAUGGAAAGGAGGGUGUCACCCUGGCAGACCCUUCCAGGCAGUGCCAUGGGUGACGUGGGAACACGGGAUGGUGGACCUGUGUUUCCUGUGGGGGGGGCGGUCUGUGGUGCGAGAGAGACUCCUCUCGUCCUGGAUGGAAUGUGGAUUGUCUGAAUUUUAAAGGAUGAUGGUUUGGAUUAGGAACCCAGGGUUGUUGGGGGAUUAAGCAAGUAGAUGAAGGUAAUGUGCUGGAGACAACUGAGUGAGCAUGUAUGGAAUGGAAAUUGGGGGGAGGAGAAGCAGUGUUUUGGGAGGUUUUCUCUUCUGCUUUUGGGUGGCUGGGUUUUUCUUUCCUUUUCUAUUGUCCAUUGUUAUGUAAUAUAAUAAAUUGUCUGUCUGUUUCAAGAA